ACUUGUAACAACCUUGUUGAUAGUAUCAGACUUGUUGCAAGGUUAUUCCAACAAGUCCGAUACAGUCAUGAUAUAACAAUAUUGUUACAACUUUGUGUCAUCAACCUUGUAACAUUCUUGUUAUAUCAUGACUGUAUCAGACUUGUUAGAACAACCGUGUGACAAGUCUGAUAAUGCCAUCAAGCUUGUUACAAGU
RNAcentral lists this microRNA precursor (196 nucleotides) under Paramuricea clavata. Lineage: Eukaryota; Metazoa; Cnidaria; Anthozoa; Malacalcyonacea; Plexauridae. The record is from RNAcentral.